GUACGUACAGGGCAACGACCACGUCAUGGAGUAUAAUAACAUCUGGAACACCUGUCUUAACGCCAGCGACUGUGGCGCCCUCUAUGCCGGAAGAGACUGGACGAAUAGAGGUAAUGUAAUACGUUACAACCAUAUUCACCACACGUUACGUAACUGGCCUGGUUAUCCAGCGAGGGGAGUCAUGCUCGACGACCAAUAUUCCAGUGCCAUCAUCGAACACAACGUCUUCUACCACAAUGAAGUUCAUGUCAACAUUGGCGGAGGUCGAGACAACAUCGUCAGGUACAACGUCUUCUAUAAUGCGACGUCGUGGUCACUUCAAGUCGAUGGUCGGGGACUUCCACACGGCAAUAGUAAUGGUGGCACGCUGGACACCCGUCUAAAGGCUGUACCAUAUACCAGUCAGUUAUAGAAGGACCGGUAUCCCAAGUUGGCUGCUAUAGACCAAUCCAAUCGAAAUGCCCCUGAAGGAAACCAGAUGUACGAUAAUGUAUAUUACAACGAUAAAGGUACAUUGAUCAAUCAUAUCUAUCAGCGCACAUAUUUCGAUCUACACGAUAAUUUCAAGUCACGAUCACCAACUGACUUCUGGUUCCCAAAGAAUGCCAACUUCCGUCUGCGGUGUCUGGCAGCCAAUUGGGCCAACAGUGAGAAUGUUUCUCAACCAAUCAGUGUGGACAGAGUUGGGCCGCGACACAAAACCGGACCAUAUUACUUACAUUUAGGUCAGAGUAUCACCCACCAUCUGUCACCUCAACCAGAUCCUUGUGCAGGCACUGCAGACCCAGCUAUAAAGAUAGCGAAAUCACCACCUGUCUGAUGGGACCUAGUGCAUCGUCAUACACAGUAAAAGUCGUUUGAAUACUGUCAAAAUACGAUAGAUGUUUCAAGUGUUCUGUAAUAAAGUUUUAUGAAAACAA
This is an RNA transcript of Gigantopelta aegis, 920 nucleotides long. RefSeq lists it as uncharacterized. Lineage: Eukaryota; Metazoa; Mollusca; Gastropoda; Neomphalida; Peltospiridae. The transcript has 7 exons. The record is from RefSeq and is a predicted model, not a curated record.